CGGGGGGGGCAAGCGUUGUUCGGAAUUACUGGGCGUAAAGGGCGCGUAGGCGGUCUGCUAAGUUGGAUGUGAAAACUCUGGGCUUAACCCAGAGCCUGCAUUCAAUACUGACAGGCUAGAGUUCUGGAGGGGAUAGCGGAAUUCCUGGUGUAGCGGUGAAAUGCGUAGAUAUCAGGAGGAACACCGGUGGCGAAGGCGGCUAUCUGGACAGAGUCUGACGCUGAGGCGCGAAAGCUAGGGGAGCAAACAGGAUUAGAUACCCUGGUAGUCCUAGCCCUAAACGAUGGAUACUUGGUGUAGCUGGGAUUGAAUCCAGCUGUGCCGAAGCUAACGCAUUAAGUAUCCCGCUGGGGAGUACGGUCGCAAGGCUG
This 371-nucleotide ribosomal RNA is filed under the name uncultured organism. RNAcentral's name for it is "bacterial SSU rRNA". It matches the Rfam family "Bacterial small subunit ribosomal RNA", at positions 526 to 896 of the family's 1533-position model. The record is from RNAcentral.